UAUUAGAGGCACCGCCUGCCCAGUGACAUAUGUUCAACGGCCGCGGUACCCUGACCGUGCAAAGGUAGCAUAAUCAUUUGUUCUUUAAUUAAGGACUUGCAUGAAAGGCCCAACGAGGAUUUUACUGUCUCCUACUUCCAAUCAGUGAAAUUGACCCCCCCGUGAAGAGGCAGGGAUGACCAUAUAAGACGAGAAGACCCUACGGAACUUUAAUUAACUAGCCUAAUCAUAACCCAUACAAACCUAGCGGGGACAACUUUCCAUGACCUAGACUAGCAAUUUCGGUUGGGGCGACCUCGGAGUACAAAAAAACCUCCGAAUGACCAUGCACCCAGACCUCACCAGUCAACGUGCCUCAAUAUCAACUCAAUUGACCCAAGUAAUUGAUCAACGGAACAAGCUACCCUAGGGAUAACAGCGCAAUCCUAUUUCAGAGUCCAUAUCGACAAUAGGGUUUACGACCUCGAUGUUGGAUCAGGACAUCCCAGUAGUGUA
This 495-nucleotide ribosomal RNA is filed under the name Bradypus variegatus (Brown-throated sloth). Its description in RNAcentral is "partial 16S ribosomal RNA". It matches the Rfam family "Bacterial large subunit ribosomal RNA", at positions 1844 to 2557 of the family's 2925-position model. Lineage: Eukaryota; Metazoa; Chordata; Mammalia; Pilosa; Bradypodidae. The record is from RNAcentral.